RNAcentral lists this ribosomal RNA (253 nucleotides) under uncultured bacterium. Its description in RNAcentral is "partial 16S ribosomal RNA". It matches the Rfam family "Bacterial small subunit ribosomal RNA", at positions 524 to 776 of the family's 1533-position model. The record is from RNAcentral.
UACAGAGGGUGCGAGCGUUAAUCGGAAUUACUGGGCGUAAAGCGUGCGUAGACGGUUAUUUAAGUCGGGUGUGAAAGCCCCGGGCUCAACCUGGGAAUUGCGAUGGAGACUGCAAGGCUUGAAUCUGGCAGAGGGGGGUAGAAUUCCACGUGUAGCAGUGAAAUGCGUAGAGAUGUGGAGGAACACCGAUGGCGAAGGCAGCCCCCUGGGUCAAGAUUGACGCUCAUGCACGAAAGCGUGGGGAGUAAACAGG